RNAcentral lists this ribosomal RNA (315 nucleotides) under uncultured eukaryote. RNAcentral's name for it is "partial 18S ribosomal RNA". It matches the Rfam family "Eukaryotic small subunit ribosomal RNA", at positions 1470 to 1796 of the family's 1831-position model. The record is from RNAcentral.
CCCUUAGACGUUCUGGGCCGCCCGCGCGCUACACUGACCAGUGCAACAAGCAUCCGUCCUUGGCCGACAGGCCCGGGCAAUCUUUGAACGCUGGUCGUGAUGGGGAUAGACUUUUGCAAUUUUUGGUCUUCAACGAGGAAUUCCUAGUAAACGCAAGUCAUCAACUUGCAUUGAUUACGUCCCUGCCCUUUGUACACACCGCCCGCCGCACCUACCGAUUGAAUGGUCCGGUGAAGCCUCCGGAUUGGCGCGCACCUCGGUGCCGCCGAGAAGUUGGCUAAACCUUACCAUUUAGAGGAAGGUGAAGUCGUAACA